GUUAUCUAAAAUUAGUAAAAUAUUUUUAUUCACGAAACCAGACGAGCUAAAUCUUUUCCUCUUUAGCGGAUAAUUUUAGUGUAGCAGUACUAAUAAAAUAUUAGAAUUUAGGGGUGAUAGGCCUUUCAAGUCUGGUGAUAUCUUGAUUAUAAGGAAAUAUAUUUAGUAUAAGUUCAAUCUAAAAAUGUUAAGGUUUUUAGGGAGCAUAUUUAUAAAUUAGUAAUAUAACUGACUAUGUAAAAAUUACAGUUUAGUUUAAUUUAACAUAAAAUAUAAUAAAUAUAUGUAAAUUACUUAUAUUUUUUACUUAAUCUUAAUAGAAUUACAAAUGAUUACAUUAGUAUAUUAUUAAUUUAUCUUAAGGAACUCGGCAAACUUUUUUCUCGACUGUUUACCAAAAACAUGCCUUAAGAAAGAAUUUAAGGUUUUCUCUGCUCAAUGAUAAUAUUAAAUAGCCGCAGUACCCUGACUGUGCAAAGGUAGCAUAAUCAGUUGGCUUAUAAUUGAAGUCUAGUAUGAAAGGGAAUUCGGGGAAAAGCUGUCUUAAGUGAAAUUACUAGAAUUUUCUUACUAAGUGAAAAUUCUUAGAAUUAGUAAAAAGACGAGAAGACCCUAGAAAUUUGUGACAAUAAGUAUUAACUUAAGUAUUUUGUUGGGGCGACAAGGUAGCAUAUAAACCUGCCAAAGAGUAUAAGAAACUAAUUAGUUGAGUAAAUAAAUUACUCUAGGGAUAACAGCAUUAUUUAAUAUAAGAUUGUGACCUCGAUGUUGGACUAGGAAAUAUUCUACUUAAAAGGUAGAAUAGAAGGCUCUGUUCGAGCUUAAUUACCUACAUGAUCUGAGUUCAGACCGG
RNAcentral lists this ribosomal RNA (853 nucleotides) under Fruticocampylaea kobensis. RNAcentral describes it as "partial 16S ribosomal RNA". The record is from RNAcentral. Lineage: Eukaryota; Metazoa; Mollusca; Gastropoda; Stylommatophora; Hygromiidae.